GGGUUGUGAGGUUAAGCGACUAAGCGUACACGGUGGAUGCCUAGGCAGUCAGAGGCGAUGAAGGGCGUGCUAAUCUGCGAAAAGCGUCGGUAAGCUGAUAUGAAGCGUAAUAACCGACGAUACCCGAAUGGGGAAACCCAGUGCAAUUCGUUGCACUAUUGCAUGGUGAAUACAUAGCCAUGCAAGGCGAACCGGGGGAACUGAAACAUCUAAGUACCCCGAGGAAAAGAAAUCAACCGAGAUUCCCCCAGUAGCGGCGAGCGAACGGGGAAGAGCCCAGAGUCUGAAUCAGUUGGUGUGUUAGUGGAAGCGUCUGGAAAGUCGCACGGUACAGGGUGAUAGUCCCGUACACAAAAACACACUGGCUGUGAACUCGAUGAGUAGGGCGGGACACGUGACAUCCUGUCUGAAUAUGGGGGGACCAUCCUCCAAGGCUAAAUACUCCUGACUGACCGAUAGUGAACCAGUACCGUGAGGGAAAGGCGAAAAGAACCCCGGCGAGGGGAGUGAAAUAGAACCUGAAACCGUGUACGUACAAGCAGUGGGAGCACCUUCGUGGUGUGACUGCGUACCUUUUGUAUAAUGGGUCAGCGACUUAUAUUUUGUAGCAAGGUUAACCGAAUAGGGGAGCCGUAGGGAAACCGAGUCUUAACUGGGCGUCUAGUUGCAAGGUAUAGACCCGAAACCCGGUGAUCUAGCCAUGGGCAGGUUGAAGGUUGGGUAACACUAACUGGAGGACCGAACCGACUAAUGUUGAAAAAUUAGCGGAUGACUUGUGGCUGGGGGUGAAAGGCCAAUCAAACCGGGAGAUAGCUGGUUCUCCCCGAAAGCUAUUUAGGUAGCGCCUCGUGAACUCAUCUUCGGGGGUAGAGCACUGUUUCGGCUAGGGGUCCAUCCCGGAUUACCAAACCGAUGCAAACUCCGAAUACCGAAGAAUGUUAUCACGGGAGACACACGGCGGGUGCUAACGUCCGUCGUGAAGAGGGAAACAACCCAGACCGCCAGCUAAGGUCCCAAAGUCAUGGUUAAGUGGGAAACGAUGUGGGAAGGCAUAGACAGCCAGGAUGUUGGCUUAGAAGCAGCCAUCAUUUAAAGAAAGCGUAAUAGCUCACUGGUCGAGUCGGCCUGCGCGGAAGAUGUAACGGGGCUAAACCAUGCACCGAAGCUGCGGCAGCGA
RNAcentral lists this ribosomal RNA (1177 nucleotides) under Yersinia ruckeri. RNAcentral describes it as "bacterial LSU rRNA". It matches the Rfam family "Bacterial large subunit ribosomal RNA", at positions 1 to 1211 of the family's 2925-position model. The record is from RNAcentral. Lineage: Bacteria; Pseudomonadati; Pseudomonadota; Gammaproteobacteria; Enterobacterales; Yersiniaceae.